CGAGAAACGGCUACCACUUCCAAGGAAGGCAGCAGGCGCGCAACUUACCCUAAUCUCGAUUCGAGGAGGUAGUGACAAGAAAUACCGAUGCGGGACCCUACGGGUGCCGCGUUCGGAAUGAGUACGAUUCGAACCACCUAACGAGGAACGAUCGGAGGGCAAGUCUGGUGCCAGCAGCCGCGGUAAUUCCAGCUCCAAUAGCGUACGUUAAAGUUGCUGCAGUUAAAAAAGCUCGUAGUUGAACGUUCGGGUUCCGCGGGACGGGGCCGCCCCGCGAGGGACGGCGCCGCCCCCGGGGCUCGUGAUAUCUCAUCUCGCCGCCCGUCGCGAGGCGGACGGAGGGGAUGGAUGAGGUUACCUGGAAAAAAUACGGGGCGGAUCUAGGCGGGCGAACCUCGCCAACGAACGAUCGGACAUGGGAUAACGGAAGAGGGCGGUCGGCUCGACUUCGUCGGUUCCUCGGGCCGAGGCACGUACGGUG
Molecule: ribosomal RNA, 481 nt
Filed under: uncultured eukaryote
Lineage: Eukaryota
Description: bacterial SSU rRNA
Rfam family: Eukaryotic small subunit ribosomal RNA
Source: RNAcentral